GGCGUGUAUCGAGCCCGCGCAAAAUUUGUACGCGCGCGAAGUUUCCCCAAUUCUCUCCCGAACGUGCGCGAAGACCCUCAUAUUCCCCAAUCCUCUCCCGUGUACACGCGCGAAGAUUUCCCCCCAAAUCCCACUCCAACGGUGAGAGCGCCGCCAAAAUAGCACGGGGGCACAGCUCAUCCAUAGCCGCGUCGCCCGUGCCCUCUUCAAGCCAUCGCCAUUGCAGGCCUGGGAUGUCGCGGCUGCCGCUGUAGAGGGGCCGCCGUCGCCGCUGCUGCUGCAGGGCUCCCGCGGCUGCCGCUGUAGAGGGGUCGCAGCCGCCGCUGCAGAGGGUCCGCCGCUGUGGAGCUUGACCGACCUGCCGCCCUCGACAACAGUUUCAGGCGGAGGUCUCCGUGCUGCUGCAACCCUGCCUCCCUAGAAGAAUCCUACCCUGCCUCCCUUGACUAGUACAUCCUCGAUCUGCAACCUACUCAACUAUGGAAAGGCGUCUUCUUCAACUUCAGAAUCAAGGCUCCAUUAGGCUGUAGGUCCUUCGUCUGCACCGUGCUGCCAUUUUUUCAAUUAUCCCGCCAUGUCUCUAGAAGAACAACAUGGUUGGAUUGUACAGUGGGUGGAAUGAACAAGGGCGCCAUUCUGAAGAGUGGGUGCGCAACACAACAACUUUUCUUGACCAUGUUUUUCAGAUUAUGCCUAAUGCUGACCGGUUUGGUGUGAAGUGCCCAUGCACAAAUUGUUGUAAUGGAGUCAGGCAAAAGAAAAGUCAGAGUGCACCUUUGUCAGUAUGUGUAAUUUUAGUUAUGUGUUCUGUGGACUUACUAAUGCAUUUCAAUUCAGUUUUACAGGAUGGCAAUUUCGCACCACCACCGCCGGGGGUCAUCCUCUACUAGCAGUGCUACUACAAGCCCUCCACCGGCGAAUCAACAAAUGAUGUUGAAAAUAUGGAUAAUACAUUGCAAGGAGUGGAAGAUGGAAUGUUUGGCGGCUUCUUUGAUGCAAAUGGUAAUGAUGCGAAUGGUGUUGCUACUGGAACUUUCUCCCCACCUAGUGAUGAUUUACCUACAUUUUUUAUAUCUCUCAUCAUGGUGAAGGAAGUGGUCUGAACUUUUUUUGUUGAUUAAUUGGAAGCAAAUGGACAAUUAUCCUUUUGGCCAUGCACUUGGUAUGGUUGUGAUGUCUUGGAUCAGUGACUUAUAUGAUGCAUGCUGUAUUAUUCCAGGCUACUAAUUGGCAAUCCUAGGUAUAGAUGACAUUUUGUGAGUCCUAGUUACUGAGCUAGAUGCCAUCUUUUGUAAAGAGUGGAGCUAGAUGCCAUCUUUUGUAAAGAGUGGAGCUAGAUGCCAUCUUUUGUAAAGAGUGGUACUAUUGUGUAAACUCUUCGUUGUUGUAAUGUAUAAUGAUGAAUGAUGGUGGUUAAAGUACAUAAUUUAUGUGAUCGUUC
Molecule: long non-coding RNA, 1441 nt
Organism: Triticum aestivum (bread wheat)
Lineage: Eukaryota; Viridiplantae; Streptophyta; Magnoliopsida; Poales; Poaceae
Exons: 2
Source: RefSeq, a predicted model, not a curated record